Molecule: ribosomal RNA, 373 nt
Filed under: uncultured organism
Description: bacterial SSU rRNA
Rfam family: Bacterial small subunit ribosomal RNA
Source: RNAcentral
CGUAGGUGGCAAGCGUUGUCCGGAAUUAUUGGGCGUAAAGCGCGCGCAGGCGGUCCUUUAAGUCUGAUGUGAAAGCCCACGGCUCAACCGUGGAGGGUCAUUGGAAACUGGGGGACUUGAGUACAGAAGAGAAGAGUGGAAUUCCACGUGUAGCGGUGAAAUGCGUAGAGAUGUGGAGGAACACCAGUGGCGAAGGCGACUCUUUGGUCUGUAACUGACGCUGAGGCGCGAAAGCGUGGGGAGCAAACAGGAUUAGAUACCCUGGUAGUCCACGCUGUAAACGAUGAGUGCUAAGUGUUAGAGGGUUUCCGCCCUUUAGUGCUGCAGCUAACGCAUUAAGCACUCCGCCUGGGGAGUACGGCCGCAAGGCUGA